GACGAACGCUGGCGGCGUGCUUAACACAUGCAAGUCGAACGGAAAGGCCCUGCUUUUGUGGGGUGCUCGAGUGGCGAACGGGUGAGUAACACGUGAGUAACCUGCCCUUGACUUUGGGAUAACUUCAGGAAACUGGGGCUAAUACCGGAUAGGAGCUCCUGCUGCAUGGUUGGGGUUGGAAAGUUUCGGCGGUUGGGGAUGGACUCGCGGCUUAUCAGCUUGUUGGUGGGGUAGUGGCUUACCAAGGCUUUGACGGGUAGCCGGCCUGAGAGGGUGACCGGCCACAUUGGGACUGAGAUACGGCCCAGACUCCUACGGGAGGCAGCAGUGGGGAAUAUUGCAAAAUGGGCGGAAGCCUGAUGCAGCAACGCCGCGUGCGGGAUGACGGCCUUCGGGUUGUAAACCGCUUUCGCCUGUGACGAAGCGUGAGUGACGGUAAUGGGUAAAGAAGCACCGGCUAACUACGUG
This 468-nucleotide ribosomal RNA is filed under the name uncultured bacterium. Its description in RNAcentral is "partial 16S ribosomal RNA". It matches the Rfam family "Bacterial small subunit ribosomal RNA", at positions 28 to 507 of the family's 1533-position model. The record is from RNAcentral.